RNAcentral lists this ribosomal RNA (433 nucleotides) under uncultured bacterium. RNAcentral's name for it is "partial 16S ribosomal RNA". It matches the Rfam family "Bacterial small subunit ribosomal RNA", at positions 29 to 507 of the family's 1533-position model. The record is from RNAcentral.
AACGAACGCUGGCGGCAUGCCUAACACAUGCAAGUCGAACGAGACCUUCGGGUCUAGUGGCGUACGGGUGCGUAACGCGUGGGAACCUGCCCUUAGGUUCGGAAUAACUCCCCGAAAGGGGUGCUAAUACCGGAUAAUGUCUUCGGACCAAAGAUUUAUCGCCUUUGGAUGGGCCCGCGUUGGAUUAGCAAGUUGGUAGGGUAAAAGCCUACCAAGGCGACGAUCCAUAGCUGGUCUGAGAGGAUGAUCAGCCACACUGGGACUGAGACACGGCCCAGACUCCUACGGGAGGCAGCAGUGGGGAAUAUUGGACAAUGGGCGAAAGCCUGAUCCAGCAAUGCCGCGUGAGUGAUGAAGGCCUUAGGGUUGUAAAGCUCUUUUACCCGGGAUGAUAAUGACAGUACCGGGAGAAUAAGCUCCGGCUAACUCCGUG